CUAUCAAAAGAAAUUUUGAGAGUAAAGCUGCUAAUUUCAAAUUUUAUGCUUGCGUGACACAUGGAAGUACUGAUGCUACAAAUAUGGCUCAGCUUUCCAUUUCUAUUAGAGAAUGACACUGAAGAAAUGGCCUCUUUCGGGCCAUUAAAAGAUCUUAUUUGUAUGAAGCGGUAAAAAUUACCUUAAAGCAGUUUUCUUUAACCUUUGUCAACAAACCUGCUAUAGCUACUGAUGGCUCCCCAGCUAUGGAUGUUAAAAAAGAGGGACUCAGAAAGUUAAUAGAAGACUUUGUAAUUGCCCCAGAACCUCACAUUUGAUGAAAUAUUGCUGCAACGUACAUCAAGAAAAUCUGUGCACAAAAGCUUUAUAAAUGGAUAAUGCCACGCAAAUCGUAACAAAAGCUGUGAAUUUCAAGAAGUCCAAGGGAUUGAAUCAUUGCCAGUUCCAGGAGUUCCUUAAAAGCAGGGAUGCUAAUUAUGGGGACAUCUUUUACUUUUCUGAAGGAAGGUGGCUAAGUCAGCGUAAAAUGCUAAAAAUAUUUUAUGACUUGCGAAAAAACAAAGUAUGUUUUUGUUGCUCUUUUUCAAUGUUGUAAUAAAAAUAUUUUAAAAAGAGGUUUUGUUACUUAUAUAAAUUAACCAUAUUAUAUAUUUUAUAUGCAGCACAAGACAAUUUUUCUUCACUUAGUGCGGCUGGACACUCAUGGACAAGAUGACCUCUGUAGGUCCUUUCCAACCCCUAUGUUUCUGUAAUUCUGCAGUUUUGUGAAAAGGAGACUUGUCCAUACAGAGAAUCACUGCUCUGUUGGUACAAAUAGCCAGAGCCUGCUGCCUGCUUCUGAUGAUCCAAACCCCUGUGGCACAGCUCAUAGAGCACUCUGACCCCUCAUGCCAUGCUGCAGAAGUUGUUUGUUUGUUUAAGAUAAAAUCUCAGGUUAAGAACUCCUUCUAGCAAGAGUCCAUAGAGUAGAGUACUCCAGAAUGAGAAACCUCUAGCGUGAAGACUGCUCAUGUGAUCCUCAGGUGCAACUUCCUUGUUCCUACACCGCAUGUCAGAGGUUACAUGGCCACAUUCCUAGGGGCAGCCCUCACUCAAACGGGUAAUACCAGUGACUUCAAGCACUGCUUUUGGACAAGCCACCACCAAUAAUCCAGAUAAAGAACCUUGGGACACCUACUGCUUGUGCUUGCACAGCUUUCGCACCAAUGGGAGCACGUAACAGAACCCAAAAAUGUUAUAAGACAAACCUAAGGAACCUGAGGAAGCUUGUACAUUUGUACCCACGGCGUGGUUAGAGAACAUCAGCUUCUUGAACUGAACAUACUUUAGAAGCAUACAAAGUUUGCCAACUUUUUUUUUUGUUUUAAUAAAAGCUUGUUUUCCACCUAGAAUUACUGUCCAUAUACACAUCUAAUUAAACAUAAAAUCCAACAUUAGUUCACUAGCAGCACAAAGAAAAGUUGUUUCACAACAGAAGCGUGAAGACAGAAUUUUCUCCACUCCUUCCCACCCUCUCGGUCACAAUGAAAGACUUUCUUCUCAAGUGUGCACUAUUCGAAGACUAGGUCUCUGAACCUUACACAUUUCCAACAAGAAAAUGUGACCUAUGAUACAACAUUUUGAAAUCAACUCAUUCUUAAGUAUUUACAAAUGCCUACAGAGAAAGUAACAAUACACAAACCCAUGCAAUAUUACUCCCCAGCAGCUACCACAUAUUUAUUCCAAACCACCAUUUAUAGUUUUGAAUACAUAUGUUCAGUUACAUGACUUAUAAAUCUAAAAUACAGAGUCAGGAAGGCAAAACACACAACUCAUGAUCGUUUAAAUCUUUAGAAGAUAUUCUCUAGACACACAAAUAUUACUGACUAUUAUGACCUUGCUGGAAGACACACUUUUCCCUAUAAUUCCUAAAACUUGUCAUUAGUCUUCUAUCAAAUGGUUCUUUCUCAUAUACGAAGAAAAUAACUCUUCCAUUUUGUGCUAGAACAACCUCAGUACUACUAGCCAAAGUGGAACGAUCUUAUCCUCCAGUCAUAUUAGAAGUGCUCUUCCUGUGACUUGAAAGGCUCAUCAUCAUGUACAAUGCAGAAUUCGUAUUUUUCUUCAUAACUAUUUUCGUCUCUGUUGCCUCCAUUUUCUUCCUCUUUUCCUUUAUUAGCCCCUAUGGUGCAUUUUUUCAAUAUAUGAUCAAUAUCUCUUCAUUAUUCCCUAUUCCAUAUGCAUGCCUCCCUUCUCUAGUAUUUCCAGUGACAAAAACGCUGACACCACAGAGAUUUCACAACUCAAUGUACUGCUUGAAACUUCAGCUCCAGAAAGUGAUAAACCUGAAUAUUUUUCCUCUAAUGCAAUUUAACAGCAUUUUGAGUAAAAGCAGAAGGACCACAGCUCUUUCUACAUACAUCAGAAGAUGUUACUGCAAUUUGAGUUAAAAAUUUAAACAUAAAUCAGGCUAUUUUACCACUUGCAGUGAAGCUGAGAGAGGUGGUUAAAUGGUGGUGGUUUAA
Molecule: long non-coding RNA, 2504 nt
Organism: Numida meleagris (helmeted guineafowl)
Lineage: Eukaryota; Metazoa; Chordata; Aves; Galliformes; Numididae
Exons: 3
Source: RefSeq, a predicted model, not a curated record